RNAcentral lists this ribosomal RNA (250 nucleotides) under uncultured bacterium. RNAcentral's name for it is "partial 16S ribosomal RNA". It matches the Rfam family "Bacterial small subunit ribosomal RNA", at positions 355 to 602 of the family's 1533-position model. The record is from RNAcentral.
GGAUGAAUAUUGGGCAAUGCCCGCAAGGGUGACCCAGCAACGCCGCGUGGAGGAUGAAGGUCGUAAGAUUGUAAACUCCUGUUAGAGGGGAAGAACAUCACCGAUUGGAUCGGUGUUUGACUGUACCCUCAGAGAAAGCCCCGGCUAACUACGUGCCAGCAGCCGCGGUAAUACGUAGGGGGCAAGCGUUGUCCGGAUUUACUGGGUGUAAAGGGCGCGCAGGCGGGAUAGCAAGUCAGAGGUGAAAUCC